This 459-nucleotide ribosomal RNA is filed under the name uncultured bacterium. RNAcentral's name for it is "partial 16S ribosomal RNA". It matches the Rfam family "Bacterial small subunit ribosomal RNA", at positions 338 to 795 of the family's 1533-position model. The record is from RNAcentral.
CCUACGGGAGGCAGCAGUGAGGAAUAUUGGUCAAUGGCCGAGAGGCUGAACCAGCCAAGUCGCGUGAGGGAAGACGGCCCUACGGGUUGUAAACCUCUUUUGUCGGGGAGCAAAGCGAGUCACGUGUGACUCAUUGAGAGUAACCGAAGAACAAGCAUCGGCUAACUCCGUGCCAGCAGCCGCGGUAAUACGGAGGAUGCGAUCGGUAUCCGGGUUUAUUGGGUUUAAGAGGUGCGCAGGCGGGUGAGCAAGUCAGCCGUCAAAUGGCGGGGCUCAACCCCGUACUGCCGUUGAAGCUGCAUCCCUUGAGUGCGCGAGAAGUAUGCGGAAUGCGUGGUGUAGCGGUGAAAUGCAUAGAUAUCACGCAGAACUCCGAUUGCGAAGGCAGCAUACCGGCGCGCAACUGACGCUCAUGCACGAAAGCGUGGGUAUCGAACAGGAUUAGAUACCCCGGUAGUC